AUCCAGCUGACGAGUCCCAAAUAGGACGAAAUGCGUAUCAAACUGGAU
RNAcentral lists this non-coding RNA (48 nucleotides) under Schistosoma margrebowiei. The record is from RNAcentral. Lineage: Eukaryota; Metazoa; Platyhelminthes; Trematoda; Strigeidida; Schistosomatidae.